Molecule: long non-coding RNA, 5116 nt
Filed under: Olea europaea (common olive)
Lineage: Eukaryota; Viridiplantae; Streptophyta; Magnoliopsida; Lamiales; Oleaceae
Description: long non-coding RNA (OEUR_LNC007428)
Source: RNAcentral
UAAAUACUUAAACCAACAAAAUCACACGAAUCUUAAAUCAAAACAUAACAAAAAUGAUUGUUUACCUAAGAUAUAGUUAUAGACAUACGAGAAUUAAGGAAUAAACCUGGAAGCAGGUGAUGAAUACCUCCGGUUUAUCGACGUAGAAAUCGUUGAACUUUUCGAAUUCCUAGUUGAGAACCAGAUCUGCAGCUCGGCCAAAUGUGGUGGCGAUACCUUGCAUCACCCUCCGGCCGCGGGGAUUAUCUCCAUCUGGUAGGGUUUCUUCCGAAUAUAUUUUGAUUUCGUUUCAAAAUGAUGCCAUAUUUUGUUCAGUACAAUGCCUUGUAUCAUUCCUUCAUCAUUGAUCAAUUCUGUGCUUACUUUGGUUCAAAAAGAUCGAUUAAUUACUACAAUAAAAAUAUUAAUAAUUUAAAUUCUUUUUUUUUCCAAUCGAUAAUUGAAAAUUAUCAUUUCCCUCCGGGGGAAAACCUACCUCAUUUCCCCCAAUUUUCCCAUUCCAUUCCCUUCUUUGGCAGCAUAUAUUACAUCCGUUGUCUUGCCCAUCCUUUCCGUCAGACGGCCGGCCGCACUAUUAGAUUUCACAGUAAGCUUACUGGAGUCGUGAAGGGCAUUUCUGUUGCCAGCCAUUUAAAUUAGAACGAGGAAGAACAAGCUUUGCUAAAAUUUGAAAGCUAUUGAAGGUAUCUCUCUACAAAUGGUAAACUACUGGAGUCGUGAAGGGCAUUUCUGUUGGCAGCCAUAAAAAUUUGAACGAGGAAGCCACAAGCUUUGCUAAAAUUUGCCUGCUAUUGAAGGUAUCUCUCUGCAAAGUCUCGAUUUGUUUAAAGGCUUCGAGUAUGAUGAGGAGAGGCCCAAGUAUGGAAGGGCGCCUUAUGAUACUGAGGGUCAUGAAAGGCCUAGUUAUGGAAGGUCCGAGGAAGAUGACUAUAGGAAGACAAGCUAUACGAGGUGUGAUGAUGAUGACACCGACUAUGGCAGCAAAAAAUAUGUGAGUUUCUUUCUAGUUCUUGAUAUUCAUGAAUUAUAUGCAUAGACAACAUAAAGAACGUUAUUUCAUACAUUAUUCCUUAACAUUGUUAAUUGUUAUUCAAUUUUCUCAAUCAAAUGUAACAUCAAUGAUCACGGGUUUGGUUGACUAAUCCUAUGAUUUAAUUAGUUCCUAUCUUGAGCAUGACUGUUAAUUUUUGUUUCUAUUUAUAUGUAGUGAUAAUCGAAUUUGAACGUUCUUAAAGAAAUAUGUGCAGCCCACACAAUCAGAUUCUCACAUUUUGGCUUAUUUUUACUUGUUUAUUAAUCUUUGAUGGUGUGGAGUCGCAGAAUAGAUACUAGUUGAAUGAUCAAUUUUAACUUUUUUGUUUUAGUUUGAAUCUAUCAUUUAAAGAGAACAAUAAUCAAUUGUUAGAUUACGGUACAUCAUAAUUUUUCUGUCCUUUGCGAUCUCGAAUGACAAGGAAGUAAUGUUAAUUCUGAUGAGGACGAGGAUGAGGAGAAGAAGAAACGCCACAAGUCCCACCAUCACCACAAGAAGCACUAUGAUGAGUAAACAAAAAAAUCGUUCCUCGAUGAGCGGGCAAGAUGAAAUAAAAUAAGGAGUUAGGCAUUUUUUGUUUUAAAUGGUAUUCAUGUUGAGUUCUUUAGCAUAUUGGAUUGUAUCCAUAAUCAAUAAAAUAUAAUACUCUCUUCGUCUUAAUUAUAUAGAUUUGUUUCGUUUUUUCACACGAAUUAAGAAAUCUUCUUUAAUGUUAUUGAAAAAUUAAUUUUGUCAAGAUCUUUCGUAAUUUACUCUCAUUUAAUUUUCAGUUUGUCUGUAAAUUAUUGUUAGUAUUAAUAAAGAAUUUGAAUAAUUUAAUUUGAAGAAAAAGAAAUGGGAGUUGUUUCAUGUUUUCAAGAAGUGGAAAAUGUAAUCGAAUAGGUGCUACUAUCUUACUUGCAGCUAAUUGCACUCCGUGCACGAAAACUAAGUGUUAUCAUUCAGCUUCUAGAGUUGUGAACAUAUUAUUUGACAGGAAGGGAUCAAUAUGCAACCAAAAAACUAAACUUCAAAUAGGGAAUGAAGUCUGAUUUGCAAGCUACAUGAAUCAGUUUUCAACCCUCAGUCAUGGUCAUGAUAGAGUUUACCUUUUGAAGAUCACCAAUGCUAGGUGCAGAGGCGUGCAUAAUAGAUCGAUAAUGAACAUUACGAGGUAUCCUGUAAUAAAACUAGUUGUUGUUGAAUACCUUGGAACUAUGUGCAUCUAAAAACCCUUUUAUGGUAUAUCUUCGCCUGACAAAAUGAGAAUGUGUAUUCUUGAUCAUUGUGAAGGGAAAGUGAGACUAGACUUGAUCUGCACGGCAUUCCUAAUAACAUUCUUAAAUGCCUUGUUUUUGGUAAUAGAUGAGCAUUACUUGACCGGUUCUUAUUUCGUAAACAAGCAUAACAUAAAGAAAUUCAUCACUUUCAUCUUAAAAAUAAAAAGUAGGGCUCACAUUGCAGCAAGAGUGCUCGGGUAUAAAUCUAUAUAUUCCUCCCAAGUAACAAGGUUGUCUCCUGGGAUGAACAUCAGCAUAUGUUGCGCUUGUCUGAACUUGGGCAGUACGACAACAUAGGAACUCCAGAUUAGCCACCCAAGCAUGAACUAUUCUUUUGAGAGUUUCGUCGUGAAAAAGGGCAGAUGACAGCAAGGUCUGUAAAAGAAGAAACUACAAUCCCCUAGUUGUUUUCGGAGUUUUAACACGAGUGAAUGAAAUAUGCAGAAUUUUCAGAAAAUGUCUGAACCCACAUAAAUUAAUACAAGAGAAACAACAAGUGAACCGUGACAGCCCAUGGAAAACUUACAUUAGAUAUAUAAAGAUCAUGAGAAAUCAGCUUCUUCACAAUUCUGGAAUAAUGAUGACCAAGUAUUUCCUUUCUGGCAAAUGCUACAUAGUGCACACAAUGCAUUACACUCCUCUCACAUAGAGGGUCCACAAAUAUUUAUUGUGUGAGGAUCCCACCAUGUGAGGGGAUGUAAUGCAUUGUGUACACAUAACAUUUUCCUUUCUUAUGUCCAUCAUCUAGUCACUAAGUUCACUCUCUUGAGGUAAAAUAUUCCACCUACGUUUGAGCUUCAAUUUCCUCAAAACUAUAUUUUUUUUUUCCAAGACUCAUAUUAACCACACAUUUUGCCAUAAAUUAAUUUUAUACAUAAACUCGAAACUUUCUCUAUUUUAACCACACAUUUUCCAAACAAUCGCUAUUCCGAAACCUAUUUUCCCCCCAAAAAAUGGUGCUCAAACAGGGCCUCAAUCUUGUGUUCCAUCACUGGCCCGGGCAGCGUAGCACAGUAAGAGCCGUGCCAAUCUGGAGGUCUCCGCAGCCUAACAGGUCUGGUAUUGAAAAAAGAAAAGAAAGCUAAGCAAAGAAGGGGGACAAAAUAAAACAAAAAUAAAAAUAAAAAGAGUGAAAGCAUGUGAGACUGGCACUGGGCAACAAAACAGCCCGGUUUACACCUCCUACAUAAUCUCCCACUAAAUUCAGUCACAGAGGUAAAAACACUCUAUCUUUACUGCCCCUCUUUUUCAGUAAUUCAAUUCUUCUCUCGGCACCAAAAAAGAAAAAAAAGCAGCUUAUAAUUAACAAGAAUUAUAUCGAUACAUUUUAACCAAAAUGAUCAUUUAAUGUAACAAUAGUCAUUAUUAGAGCACAAAACAAGAUAUUAAAGCAAAAUUCCAAAACAAAUCCAGUGUAAAUAAAACACAAUUUGAAAGAUGGAUGAAUCUAAGCCCCUGUUUGGCAUCCAUUUUAAUGAUUUUUUUGGCGUGAAAAGAGUUUUUAAAUAGUGAUUUUUUAUUUUUCUUAAAAAUGUGUGGUUAAAAAAUAGGAAAAAUAUUUGGGUUUAAGUUCAAAAUAUUUUAUCAUAUAUUAUGGUUGAUAAUGGGUUUGAGAAAAAAAAAGUUUUGAUUUAAUGGAUGUCAAAGAGAGGCUUAAUGUUCUAAAUACUUAUCUCCCUUGGUACACAACUUAGUCGCAAGUUCUUGUCCCUACAACCUUAACAACACGUUUGGUUAACACCAUACAAUAAGAUAGACAAUAUUUUAACUUCUUUAUCUCGUUUAAUCCUGUCGAUAGUCCAAGUUAUCGAACAAGCCAUGAAGGUGUUGAAUAUUAACUUGGAUCCAUAAUCAACUCAAUCAUUUUCUUCUAUAACAUGUUAUAGUUUACCCGAGAUGAUCUCAGUAGAUCUAUGAGAAAUAGGGCUCUAUACAAAAUAAUUAUGAACUAACUAAAGACGAAUAUACCAAGGAGAUUCUUAUUAAACAAAGAACAUUUUAAUUCAUUCCAAGGUCAUAUCGCAUGACAAUUUGGAAUAUGCCUAAAAUAUUCUUUUAAACCAUCCAACAAAAAUCAAUGUCCACUUAAAUGUUGUUAUUCUACUUCAUGCCAUCUCACCACUAAAGGAAGCACGGUCAACAUCAGUUUAAUGAGAGCAAAAUGGCUCCUUCAACACUCUCCUCAUCUUAUAUUCAUACUUGGAUUCCUAUGUCUCCUAGUAUUUUAUGAGCCCAAAUCGUAAUUUUUCGUAUACUUGUUAAUCAACAAGUUAGUCCGCCUUAAUCAACAUCGUGCUCAAAUUAAAAUUCAUCUUGCAGGUACAAUUCCUCUACUGUUUACAACUGGCUAGAUUAUCAACCAAGCACAACACUGAGAAAAGUUCGACGGUUUCUACGUUAAUAAAGGGAAGUACCCUCUAUCCCACCCUAUCCCACCGCCUCCAUUCCUCCGUCCCUUGUUUCCGUUCUCCUAAAAAUUAAGAGUAUGUUUUAGAAGUAGUUUAAAUUUCCCAUUACUCUUAACUAAUUUCUUUCAUACACAUAGAGCCCCAAGUUUAAAUUCAAAUCAAAUUAAUGCCUAUUUUCAAGCUUGUAUAAAAUUAAAUACUUAAACCAACAAAAUCACACGAAUCUUAAAUCAAAACAUUAAAAAAAUAUAUAAAAAAAUUUGAUUGUUUACUUAAGAUAUAGUUAUAGACAUACGAGAGUUAAGGGAUAAACCUGCAAGCAGUUGAUGAAUACCUCCCGUUUAUCGACGUAGAAAUCGUUGAACUUUUCGAAUUCCCAGUUGAGAACCAGAUCUGCAGCUCGGCCAAAUGCGGUG